This 448-nucleotide ribosomal RNA is filed under the name uncultured bacterium. Its description in RNAcentral is "bacterial SSU rRNA". It matches the Rfam family "Bacterial small subunit ribosomal RNA", at positions 64 to 507 of the family's 1533-position model. The record is from RNAcentral.
GAACGGCAGCACGGGGGCAACCCUGGUGGCGAGUGGCGAACGGGUGAGUAAUACAUCGGAACGUGCCCUGUAGUGGGGGAUAACCAGUCGAAAGAUUGGCUAAUACCGCAUACGACCUGAGGGUGAAAGCAGGGGAUCGCAAGACCUUGCGCUAUAGGGGCGGCCGAUGUCCGAUUAGCUAGUUGGCGGGGUAAGAGCCCACCAAGGCGACGAUCGGUAGCUGGUCUGAGAGGACGACCAGCCACACUGGGACUGAGACACGGCCCAGACUCCUACGGGAGGCAGCAGUGGGGAAUUUUGGACAAUGGGGGAAACCCUGAUCCAGCCAUGCCGCGUGCGGGAAGAAGGCCUUCGGGUUGUAAACCGCUUUUGGCAGGAACGAAACGGCGCGCGCUAAUACCGCGCGUUAAUGACGGUACCUGCAGAAUAAGCACCGGCUAACUACGUG